UGCGGAAGGAUCAUUACCGAGUGAGGGCCCUCUGGGUCCAACCUCCCACCCAUGUUUAUUGUACCUUGUUGCUUCGGCGGGCCCGCCUCACGGCCGCCGGGGGGCUUCUGCCCUCUGGCCCGCGCCCGCCGAAGACACCAUUGAACACUGUCUGAAGAUUGCAGUCUGAGCAAUUAGCUAAAUAAGUUAAAACUUUCAACAACGGAUCUCUUGGUUCCGGCAUCGAUGAAGAACGCAGCGAAAUGCGAUACGUAAUGUGAAUUGCAGAAUUCAGUGAAUCAUCGAGUCUUUGAACGCACAUUGCGCCCCUUGGUAUUCCGGGGGGCAUGCCUGUCCGAGCGUCAUUGCUGCCCUCAAGCACGGCUUGUGUGUUGGGCCCCGUCCUCCUUCCCGGGGGACGGGCCCGAAAGGCAGCGGCGGCACCGCGUCCGGUCCUCGAGCGUAUGGGGCUUUGUCACCCGCUCUUGUAGGCCCGGCCGGCGCUUGCCGACAACCAUCAAUCUUUUUUCAGGUUGACCUCGGAUCAGGUAGGGAUACCCGCUGAACUUAAGCAUAUCAA
This 559-nucleotide ribosomal RNA is filed under the name Penicillium corylophilum. RNAcentral describes it as "eukaryotic LSU rRNA". The stretch from base 191 to 344 matches the Rfam family "5.8S ribosomal RNA". Lineage: Eukaryota; Fungi; Ascomycota; Eurotiomycetes; Eurotiales; Aspergillaceae. The record is from RNAcentral.